Non-coding RNA from Struthio camelus australis, 4424 nucleotides. Lineage: Eukaryota; Metazoa; Chordata; Aves; Struthioniformes; Struthionidae. The record is from RefSeq and is a predicted model, not a curated record.
GAAAUAACCGACUAUCCCCCGGGGUUUUGCAGGCUUUCGCGGGAGCGGGAAGUCACAGCUGCGGGGAAGCUUUCGGCUGAAAACAUGGCCACAGACCUCGGCAGUCGGGGAGAGCCAGAUCAGAGACUAAAUGCGGCUUUUGGACAAUAUGAAACAGAUAAGUUUUUGAGAGCUACUGCUGAGCAGAAAAACGUCCUUGAACGCGAUGCGGUGCCAGGAUCCAGAAUGAUGAGCCAAAGCUUGUUAUUGCCUCUAAUUACAGAGUAUGAUAAGCACUUGGAAGAAAUGAGUGAACAGCUGCAGCUUUAUCAGGCACAAAUGGCUGAGAUGAGACUAAAAUUUGAACAAGUCACCAAGGAAAAUGAAAGGUUGCAUGCAGAGUUGAAGGAGGCUGUUGAGAAGCAACUGGAGGCUCUUCCUUUCAUGCUUACGGGGACUGAGGUUCCUGCAGAUGAAGAAAUAGUGAGAAAUCUUCAAGAACAACUACAGCUGGCCAGUCAAGAAAAAGAACACGCAUUAGAACUCUGGCGGACUGUCUCACAGGAACUUGAUCGACUCCAGCAGCGAUACCAGGAGCACAUGACUGAAACACAAAUUCAUGUGGCUGAAAGGCAAAAGCAGAAAGAUCAACUGACUGGCUUUCAACAGCUGACUCAGCAACUGCAUGUAGCCAAUGAGAAAAUAGAGUUGAGCAAUCAACAGUUUCUGAAAACAGUAACAGAACAGAAUGUGGAACUAGAGCAGCUACGCAAACAACUGAGGCAAGCUAAAAUAGAUGGGCGGACAGCAACUGCGAAGGUUGAUGAAAUGACCAGAUUGACAGAGAAGCUUCAAGGACAGUUGGAGAGAAAGGAGGAAGACAUGGUAUCUGCUCAGCAGAGAGAAGAAGCAUCUGACAAACGCUUGCAGCAAAUGCAGUCUAGUAUAAAACAAUUAGAAACAAGAUUACGUGUUACCAUCCAAGACGCUGAACACCUGAGAACAGAAAGAGCAGCCCUGGAGAAGCAAAUCAGAGAGCUUCAGACAAAGUGUGCUAAUCUAGAAAAGGAGAAGUAUAAUGCUGUUGCAAAAGUCCAAGAUAGCAUACAGCUUUUAGAAGAAGCUAACUUACAAAAAAGUCAGGCACUGUUUGGGGAAAAACAAAAGGAAGAGGAAAUCAGAAAGAUGAAAGAUGAAAUGUCCCAACUUGCAGAAGAUACUGCUGCAAAAAUUAGAAAGGCAGUAGACUCAGCAAAGAAGCAAUAUAAUGUGCAGAUUUCUCGACUAACAGAAGAACUUUCUGCUCUUCAGAUGGAAUGUGGAGAAAAGCAGAGUCAAAUUGAACGAAUCAUUAGAGAAAAGCGAGCCGUGGAAGAAGAGCUUGAAAAGAUUUACCGAGAAGACAGAGGACAUGAAUCUGACAAUAGAAAACUAGAGCAACUGCAUCAAAAAUAUCUACUUGCAGAAUGUACAAAAGGUGACCUUCAGCUGAGUCUGCAGACAACACAAAAUAAACUGAAGCAACUGGAAAUGAACUCUGAGGAAGAGAAAUCUCGUUUCCAGGAAAUGAUCUGUAAAUUGCAAAGCAUUCUGGAUUCUGAAAGAGAAAAGACUGGCUUUGUCAGUGAGCAAAGGCUAAAACUUCAGCAAGAGAACGAACAAUUGCAGAAAGAGAUGGAGGGCUUAAGAAAACUGGCCAUGGAGGCUCAACAAAAAGCUAAAAUAAAAAUAAGCACAAUGGAACAUGAGCAUUCUCUGAAAGAACAUGGAUAUGAAGCUCGACUUAAGGAAAUGGAAGACACCAGUCAAAAAUCUACUGCUGAACUGAGACGUCUCCUGGUAGCUCAGCAAAAAGCAACAAAUCGGUGGAAAGAAGAAACAAAAAAUCUUACUGAAACUACAGAAGUCAGGAUCAAUAAGCUAAAAAGUGAACUGAGUCGACAGAAACUUCGCUCCCAAGAGCUCCUUUCUCAGCUGGAAAUGGCAAAUGAGAAGGUAAUUGAGGAUGAAAAAUUAAUGAUGGAAUAUCGAGAAUACAUCAGUAGGCUUCAAAGACGACUAAGCCAGGCAGAGCAGAGGGCAGCUACAGCAUCUCAAAAGCUCAGUGUGAUAACUGCACACAAGAAAAAAGUUGCUUCCCUGAAAGAUGUGGAAAAUAUUUAAAUAUAUGUAUUGUUCAUUCACACCAUGUUGGAGUUGAGAAGAUUGCUGGAGAAACUCCAUACUGGAGAAUCGAAGAAGUCCAACGGCUAGCAAGACUUGUAAAAUUUGCAGAACCAUUUUCUAUGUAUUUUAUUCAGUGUGUAACUGCGUUGAUGACAGACUACUACCAUUCACUACUGCUCCUUGGAGAGAUGCCCUAGCUGUGAAGCUAAACCUGGCUGUUUGACUACCAGAGCGGGUUCCUGGCUUGUUCCUCACAAGGUGGACUCUCCGAGGAAAGGUACUUGGCUGAUGCAAUCAGGAUUUAAGGUUUGCUGGUUCUUCUUGUGACACUAGGUUAAUGGAAUUGAACACCGGGCUUUUUGAUCAUCAUCUUUGGUUAUUGAACCUUGUCACUCUUCACUGAGCAGUUCUUGUUUUCCCUGCCGUCCUUUACCAUCCUAAAACACUAGCGUUAAACGUUUUAAGAUUCUCUAGUGGGACAGUCAUGCUCCCCAGUGAGUAAAACCUUUGUUGUUGUCUCCGUUUCUUUAGGAAAGUAGUUUCUACAUGCUAGUUUCUUCCAGUCAACAGGUGAGAGAGAGAGACUGAAUAUGUACAAGUUUCAGUCUGGGUCUUCCCUUAACCCCUAUUCCUUCUGGUACAGGUCACUUUGCAUACCUUGGACUGUUUCUCAAAAGAGCUGUCACUGCCUACAACCAGCUCCGGCAUAGCCGGUUGAAGUGGCUAGCAGGCUGCCCUCAGCUCUGAGCGAGUCUUCUUUGUGUAACCCCAGCAGUGCAGUACCUUUCACAAAUGCAGCCAUAAGCACCACCUGUAAGGCAGCUUCAAGAACCCCUUUCAGGCUUUUAGUCCAGCUUUGAAGCGCUUGAUGUAGUAGUACCUCAGCUGAGGGCCAUCCUUUAGUCCUCCUCCUUUUGCACUGUUCUGUGAGGGGGCGGCACUCUCAGUUGCCUACACCACGAAUGCACACGCAUGUAAGUACAUACAGAUUUGACAGAGAAAAGUUACUUCCUGGUAGCUGUUUUUCAAAAUGUAUAUACAUUGGCCACUUUGUCUUUUUCUUGCUCUGCUGAGUCCAUGUUUCAGCACCAUGGGUUAAGAGGAACCAAGGAGGAGGGACAGGUUGUGCCCCCUCACCUGCUUGGAGGAGCCUGUGUCCUACAGGUCCUCUUAUAGCAGCAAACGCCUCUCUGCCAGUGUUGCCUGAAUAUAGGUAAUUCAUAGCAUGGAUGUACACUCAGCCUGCUUACCUUGAACAGCUACGGCUAAGAAGCCUCAUUUGCUUCUCCAGGGGAAUGCGUAUGAAGAUUUUGGACUUCAGAAGAACAAUACAUGUCCAAGAAUUUAAAUUGUUUGAGGGGCAUCAGGACCCAAGGAUGGACUAUUAAACAACACCAUGUUUUCCACUGAGGAGAAGGAAGAAGGCACACCUAAAGGUAAACAAAUUAAGUUAAAGCUAAGCAAUUUCAUGAAGCCUGUGAGGUGUUUUUCAGCAUAUAUGGCCAUUUGGUGGCAUAUCCAGCAGUACGUGAUGGCCGUGUGAGUGCCUAUGUAGGGAGUUGACUGCGUACUGCCAAUGUGGGUUACCUUCCUUGUAGCAGUGCUGCACCUGUUAUACUUGCAGUGAACGUAAAUCCCAACACUGCUGCAUGCGCUAAGACAGAAAAACUCGGGGUGGGGAAGCAACCAGCAAGUAUAGAUCUGACUGAUUGACAAUUCUCUCUAAAAUGUGUAUUGUUACUGAAUACUUUAAGGACAGUCUAGUUAGUUAAUCACUUUAAAGUUUUUAAUCUCUGAGAAAAGACUAUUGCCAAUGAGAACAGGCAGAAAAAAACAUGUUGUUUAAAAACUUACUAGAUACCUUUCCCAAAUUCAUUUCUUUAAACUACCAUCUACGGUGCAAAAAAACCCCCACAUAUUAAACACUAACACAGCACUAAUAAACCACAAUCUUAUUAGGUACUGUAUGGCACUUAUAUGUCGCUGCCAUAAGGAGUCAUUAGUUUAAAAAUAAAAAUCAUAUCAGAAAGCAUCUGAAGCAGCAAGCCAUUCAGUACCCUAUGGAUAAGGGCACAGAUGUACCAGUUUCUACGGCAAUGUGACCACCACUAAAGCUAUGGCGAUUGUCAUUUUUCCUCCAACCUGCUGACACGUGGUGGACUACACAAGAUUUUAAUGAGAAUAAAUGAGGUCCUGUUGUCCUUCAAAGUCAGUCAUUAGUCUCUAACCAAACUUUUUAAUGCUUGUGCCUGUGGUCUUAUCCUUAGAUGUGAAAAAGG